AAGGAGAGAAAGAAAGAAAGAGAAGGAGAAAGAGAAAGGAAGAGAGCGUUUCUUUUUGUAUUUUCCACUUUUUAUUUCUUGCGUUCACUUUUCUCGUA
RNAcentral lists this non-coding RNA (98 nucleotides) under Chloroparvula japonica. Lineage: Eukaryota; Viridiplantae; Chlorophyta; Chloropicophyceae; Chloropicales; Chloropicaceae. The record is from RNAcentral.